Molecule: non-coding RNA, 100 nt
Filed under: Lentisphaerota bacterium
Lineage: Bacteria; Pseudomonadati; Lentisphaerota
Description: Lentisphaerae bacterium TPP sequence
Rfam family: TPP riboswitch aptamer (THI element)
About the family: Vitamin B(1) in its active form thiamin pyrophosphate (TPP) is an essential coenzyme that is synthesised by coupling of pyrimidine and thiazole moieties in bacteria. The previously detected thiamin-regulatory element, thi box was extended, resulting in a new, highly conserved RNA secondary structure, the THI element, which is widely distributed in eubacteria and also occurs in some archaea.
Source: RNAcentral
UGUUGUCAGCCGGGGUGUCCUGCCGAAUGGCCGGACUGAGAUUAUACCCGAUGAACCUGAUCCGGAUCAUGCCGGCGGAGGGAGCGCAGGAAAGCUGAGA